AGGAUUUUAGUAUAAUAGUAAUACAUAUGACUUUUAAUUAUAAAGAAAUUGGUUCGAAUCCGAUAAAUCUUA
This is a transfer RNA of Coniochaeta ligniaria NRRL 30616, 72 nucleotides long. It matches the Rfam family "tRNA". Rfam says of the family: Transfer RNA (tRNA) molecules are approximately 80 nucleotides in length. Their secondary structure includes four short double-helical elements and three loops (D, anti-codon, and T loops). Further hydrogen bonds mediate the characteristic L-shaped molecular structure. tRNAs have two regions of fundamental functional importance: the anti-codon, which is responsible for specific mRNA codon recognition, and the 3' end, to which the tRNAs corresponding amino acid is attached (by aminoacyl-tRNA synthetases). tRNAs cope with the degeneracy of the genetic code in two manners: having more than one tRNA (with a specific anti-codon) for a particular amino acid; and 'wobble' base-pairing, i.e. permitting non-standard base-pairing at the 3rd anti-codon position. The record is from Rfam. Lineage: Eukaryota; Fungi; Ascomycota; Sordariomycetes; Coniochaetales; Coniochaetaceae.